RNAcentral lists this microRNA precursor (153 nucleotides) under Podarcis lilfordi (Lilford's wall lizard). The record is from RNAcentral. Lineage: Eukaryota; Metazoa; Chordata; Lepidosauria; Squamata; Lacertidae.
CAAGCUGAGUGGGGAGGAGAGAGGGACAGAGAGCCUCUUGCUUUAAAGGAGCCAAUCGGACAGGAGCCGCUUACACUCAUGUAAGCGGCUCCUCUCCUGCUUUGCUCCUUUAAAGAAGCAGGCUCUCUGUCCCUCUCUCCUCCCCACUCAGCG